RNAcentral lists this long non-coding RNA (585 nucleotides) under Phasianus colchicus (ring-necked pheasant). RNAcentral describes it as "lncRNA (ENSPCLG00000007688.1)". The record is from RNAcentral. Lineage: Eukaryota; Metazoa; Chordata; Aves; Galliformes; Phasianidae.
CUUCAAGACAGCAUUUUUUUGACAAAUGCGUUAUUCACCAAAAACAUUCUCCCAGCUUUAAUAGAAAAUAAAUAAAUAAAAAUUCAAUAGACUGGAAAGAGGCCAAUAGGCUUUGGUUCAGGCCUUGUAAAGCAGCAAAUAAACAUUUUCCACAUGCUUUAGGAGAGCAAAUGGUUCCUUGGUUCUCCACAGUCUGUCUGCAGAAGAAGGGAGCUAAACACUUGAAGAAAUGUGUGGUUGGAUUUGUUUCACCGCCAGUUAGGAGGGCAAGCCUCUGGUGUGGCCAUCGGGCUGUUCUUCUCUUAUAUGGUACACAGCUUCAAGUGUCCAGAAGUACAAUAGAAAGUAUUACCUGCCCUCGCUGAAAAAGCCACCAUACUUCUCCUGCAAAGCUCAAGGAGCCAGCAAAUGAGUAACAGUAGGCGCCUGGCACCCCAUGUCAUCGUGAUUCCACACGACAUCAUUUUAUGAUGCAAAUGCACUCUGAUCUCAAUAGCAUGCAAUAUAUCAAACGUGUAAUGUAUGCAAAAAAGAUCCAGAUAAGGGAGGAGGUAAAUAAAUUUGUUAUGAUUUUAAUGAUAUACA